Long non-coding RNA from Oncorhynchus tshawytscha (Chinook salmon), 310 nucleotides. The record is from Ensembl. NCBI's taxonomy places the organism in Eukaryota, Metazoa, Chordata, Actinopteri, Salmoniformes, Salmonidae.
CUCCUUUGAUCUCUAACAGAGGGGGUCCAGGUUAUUACACUCCCAGACCACCACCUCCUUUGAUCUCUAACAGAGGGGUUACAGGUUAUUACCCUCCCAGACCACCAUCUCCUGUGAUCUCUAACAGAGGGGUUACAGGUUAUUACCCUCCCAGACCACCACCUCCUUUGAUCUUUAACAGAGGGGGUACGGGUUAUUACCCUCCCAGACCACCACCUCCUUUGAUCUCUAACAGAGGGGGUCCAGGUUAUUACCCUCCCAGACCACCACCUCCUUUGAUCUCUAACAGAGGGGGUCCAGGUUAUUACCC